GGAGCAGGCGGCGGCAGAGGUUUGUGGUGAAAGACUGAAGCUUAACUUCAGUAAGCCAUAGAAACCGGGCUGCUAGAGUGCAGGAGAGGAUCGUGGAAUUCCAUGUGUAGCGGUGAAAUGCGUAGAUAUAUGGAGGAACACCAGUGGCGAAGGCGACGGUCUGGCCUGUAACUGACGCUCAUUCCGAAAGCGUGGGGAGCAAAUA
Molecule: ribosomal RNA, 205 nt
Filed under: uncultured bacterium
Lineage: Bacteria
Description: partial 16S ribosomal RNA
Rfam family: Bacterial small subunit ribosomal RNA
Source: RNAcentral